This is a long non-coding RNA of Zophobas morio, 339 nucleotides long. RefSeq lists it as uncharacterized. The record is from RefSeq and is a predicted model, not a curated record. Lineage: Eukaryota; Metazoa; Arthropoda; Insecta; Coleoptera; Tenebrionidae. The transcript is spliced from 4 exons.
GUCUCUUUCUAUCGUGAAGCAGGAUAUAAGAAAAUUUCUUAUUUAACCCUUAUUAGUUCAGUUCCUUUAGUUCUCGCCACUCUUUGCUAUUUUAUGGUCAUGUUUACUUUUCCUGGAAGCCCAGCUCUAACUUUAUUAGGCGUUACUAAUAGUUCAAUAAUUAAUGAGGAACAAAUUAAUUAUAGAGAUUGGUGCUUGACUUGUGAGACUUGCAAACCUCCUCGAACACAUCACUGUAGCCGUUGUGAAAAGUGUAUUCUUCGGAUGGACCAUCAUUGCAUUUGGGUGCACAACUGCAUCGGAAAUAAUAAUUAUAAAAUUUAUUGCUUAAUGCUUUUU